AUUCAGUGUUGACAGUUAUCUGCAUGCUCUUUACAGAGCCACUAAAGUGAGCCUGCCACAGGACACACAAGGCCUUUUGUCUGGGGCUCUUGUGUGGAUCUCACACAGAGCAUGAUAUCCAGGGAAGUGUAAGUGUGAUCUGGGUAACAAGGGCAUGACCUGAGGCCGAGGUUUGCUUCUGUUGAGGCACUGAGGUGACAGUGUGUUCUUUUUCUCCCUAGGACUGGCCCCUGGGAUUUGCUGCUCAGGACCCGAGUUCACUGAGACAUCAGGAGCAAGCACUGGAGGCCCGGUGCUGCUGGACCCAGAUGGGAGCCAUGCAGGACUUGACCAUUGCCUGCACACACUUCUUCCCAGGAGAAAGGGAAUGAGCAAGAACUAGAUCCUAAGAGCAGAAGACAAUCAUAUGUCCUGAGAACCCAUUGGAGGUUGAACGCUGCUGGGUGGAUGGAGAAAGGCAGAAAUGCAGAAUUUCGUCAUUGCCUGGAUGCUGACUUUAUCCAAAGAGAAGAUGCAUGAGGAGUGUACAUGCCUCAGAACUGGAUGCUGAGACAUGCCCCCGCGAUCCCAAGACCACCAGGUACCGUGAGCAAUCACUGGAGCUGGAACACUGCUGCCUGAAGAAGAAAAGAAGUGCAGGCUUGUCAUUGUCUAUGCUGUUACUUGUGGUUCCCAGGUCUUCAGAGAGGAUGCACAAAGACGGGAGGCAGACUGGCAUCACAGGACCCUUCCGAGUAUUAACGCAGACCCUGGUGACAGAGGUCCAGUACCAAGUGCGCAGCUGUGCUGAGGUGCAGGGACAGGAGGCAGAAGGGCAGGUUCCAGCCCGCUCAGCUGGCCAUGGUAAGAUACUAGCUGGUGUCCUAGGGCAGCAAGGCGCCUCCCUCUCCAGGUUCUGAAGAGAAAACACUGCAGUCUGAGUUUCUGUUGGGACCUGAGCAGAAGACAAGGAAGCCCAGCUAGGCACCCACAGCUGCUCCUGCUCUCUGUAAUCGGCCGCCAUCUUCCUUCAUUCUUUCAUGACUGAGGUGCGCGUACAGGAAGCAGAGGGGCAGGUUCCACCCCGCUCAGCUGGCCAUGGUAAUCUACUUGCUGGUGUCCUACUCUCCCGGUUCUGAAGAGAAAACACUGCAGUCUGAGUUUCUGUUGGGGCCUGAGGAGUAGUCAAGGAAGCCCAGCUAGGCACUCACAGCUGCUCCUGCUGUCUGUAAUUGGUCGCCAUCUUCCGCCAUUGCUAGGAAUCAUGGGCAGGAGGAGAGUGGCCCUGUGAGUUUUGAAACCGUGUCCUCAUGGUGGCAGUAGAGCUCCAAACAAGAGCUUGUGAGUGCUUCUCCCCCGCCCUUCCUGUCUGAAAAAACUCCAAAGAUGGCUGUCCUAACUUUUUAUUUUGAUUUUUCUUUAUUUUUCCAGACAGGAUUUUGCUGUAUAGCCCUGGCUGUCCUAGAACUCACUUUGUACAACAGGUUGGCAUCGAACUCAGAAAUCCACCUGCCUCUGCCUCCCGAGUGCUGGGAUUAAUGGUGUGCACCACUAUGCCCUGCUGUCUGCCCUAACUUUUACCCAGCUUUGAAUAGUUUCAACUGUAUUUUAUUUUUUUGUCACAUGUUCCAUGUGAAGCCAAUCUGAGGCCCUAGGUAAUGGGACUAUUUUCCUUCAGUUAUGUAGGGUUUUUCCUUUUUCUCCCUUUAUAAUUGUUGAUUUUUUCUUUUUCAGAUACUUAAUGGUUUUCAUAAAAUUUUGAUAUGUUUAAUUUUGUGUCAGUUUUACAUGAUAAAGAUAUGGUAGCAGAUUUAGAAGCCAAGGACUAUGCUGAGCCCUAGUCCUAGUGAACUACAAGAGGCUGGAUGGCCUGGGCCUUUCCAGUAGGCUUCUGUCUUUUCGUCUGGGAGUUCCAGAAUAGUCCAUGCUACCAUACCCAGAGGACAGGAGUAGGUUUAACUUUGUCUUAAGUAAACUAUCAAUAAACAAACACUUGCCAGUUGAUAAUUAUAUCUC
RNAcentral lists this long non-coding RNA (1995 nucleotides) under Mus spicilegus (steppe mouse). RNAcentral describes it as "lncRNA (ENSMSIG00000029852.1)". The record is from RNAcentral. Lineage: Eukaryota; Metazoa; Chordata; Mammalia; Rodentia; Muridae.